GAUGAACGCUAGCGGCAGGCCUAAUACAUGCAAGUCGAGGGGCAGCGCGGUAGCAAUACUGGCGGCGACCGACGCACGGGUGCGUAACACGUAUGCAACCUACCUUCAACUGGAGGAUAGCCCGGGGAAACUCGGAUUAAUACUCCAUAACACAGGGAUCCCGCAUGGGAAUAUUGUUAAAGCUACGGCGGUUGAAGAUGGGCAUGCGUUCGAUUAGCUAGUUGGUGUAGGUAACGGCUCACCAAGGCUACGAUCGAUAGGGGGUCUGAGAGGAUGAUCCCCCACACUGGUACUGAGAUACGGACCAGACUCCUACGGGAGGCAGCAGUAGGAAUAUUGGUCAAUGGGCGCAAGCCGUGAACCAGCCAUGCCGCGUGCAGGAAGAAGGCCC
This 391-nucleotide ribosomal RNA is filed under the name uncultured bacterium. RNAcentral's name for it is "bacterial SSU rRNA". It matches the Rfam family "Bacterial small subunit ribosomal RNA", at positions 28 to 417 of the family's 1533-position model. The record is from RNAcentral.